AGAACGAACGCUGGCGGCAUGCCUAAUACAUGCAAGUCGAACGAACACUUCGGUGUUAGUGGCGCACGGGUGCGUAACGCGUGGGAAUCUGCCCUUGGGUUCGGAAUAACAGUUGGAAACGACUGCUAAUACCGGAUGAUAUCGAAAGAUCAAAGAUUUAUCGCCCAGGGAUGAGCCCGCGUAGGAUUAGCUAGUUGGUGAGGUAAAGGCUCACCAAGGCGACGAU
This 226-nucleotide ribosomal RNA is filed under the name uncultured soil bacterium. Its description in RNAcentral is "partial 16S ribosomal RNA". It matches the Rfam family "Bacterial small subunit ribosomal RNA", at positions 26 to 280 of the family's 1533-position model. The record is from RNAcentral.